AUUUUAUUCAUCAGGACUUGAUGCAUCCAAGUAUAGGAUCAUUCGGUUUUGGCACCUUCAAUUUGAACAACACAUUAAAAAUCAAACGAAACAAAGAAAUGACUAAGGCUGUGUGAGUUUUAAAAAUAAAAUACAUACAUACAUACAUAUAUUUAUAUAUUUAUAAAGAAAUCGACCAAACCAUUUAAAAAAGCAGUUUUGUUCCAUGUAGAUUGUUUGGUUCGUCUCACAAAAGCAGUAAUGAACUAAAUAAAUAAAUAAAUAAGAAACAUAAGAAAAAUACACAUGGAAACAUUAAUACUUUAGCGCCUUGGCUUUCCCCCCCCCCUUUAUAAUUAUUAACCUUUAAAACUUAAGUUUCUCAAGAGCAGAUUUGCUGUAAUUUUAUAGCAUGCAUUUAAUUUCUGAAAUUGUGAGUCACUUAGCUUCUCUUGUACUAUUUCAUAUUUAACUUGUUUUUAUUUUUGUGUUUGGCGUCCUCUUCUUUUCCUUGCCCUCUGCUCCUUCCUUUCUUAUUUAGCAGAAGUCGUGUUUGGAGUCUUCGCUUUGUGUGACCUUUAACCCCCUUUUGUUGGCUCUUUCUGUUAAGGGGUUUCGACUCUCGCGUUACGACCCCCCCAUAUAAAAAAAGAAAGUGAACAGGGACCAAGAAAAAGACGAGAAGGUUCUAUUAAAAGAUAUUAUUCUACUGUCUGCGUCUGCCUGUGGUGGCUGCUGUACUGCUGCUACCUGAAGGACCAUCUCUUGUUCUCGACCUUCGAAUGAAAGCAUACUAAAAGAGUCUUUUCUCAUAUUAACAACAGCACUUGGUUUAGUUAACUCGAUUUUUUUUGUGUAUGUGUGUGUUUUUUUUCUCUUUUUUUGCUUCGGUAAAGUCUGUAUCUCUUGAUUAUUAACGUAAUAAUUUAUUUAUAAAAGUAAUACAUAUAUAUAUGUAUACAUAGUACCUUUGUUAGAGAUUACAGAUUGGGGUAAUUCUUACUGAAUCCCAAGCUGUAACAAUUCACAGUUUUAAUGCAAAAAAAAUGAACAAAUCAGUCAGUAAAUAAAAGAGGUGGCAGGCUGGCUGAGGGGGGAGCUUGACCUGUUGCUCCAACCAAACUUGUGGGGCAAUACUGUCAACCAUAAGGGCAAUGAAAUGAUGAAACCAAUUC
Molecule: long non-coding RNA, 1154 nt
Organism: Astatotilapia calliptera (eastern happy)
Lineage: Eukaryota; Metazoa; Chordata; Actinopteri; Cichliformes; Cichlidae
Source: Ensembl